AGGCUCUUGGACGGCGAAGCUGGGCAUGGUGGUGGGCAACUGUAAUCCCAGCUACUCAGGAGGCUGAGGCAGGAGAAUUGCUUGAACCUGGGAGGCAGAGGUUGCAGUGAGCUGAGAUCACGCCAUUGCACUCUAGCCCAGGCAACAGAAGUGAAACUCUGCCUAAAAAAAAAAGAAAAGAAAAGAAAGAAAGAAAGGUGGCCCCGUUAAUGUUUAUGCCAAGACAGCCGGCAUGACCUGGAAGUGUCCCAAGCCACAGGGCAUCUUGUUUCCGGGGAGGAUGAAUGAAUCAAAUCGCACCUAUUUUGAGGCAAGCAAGGACUCUGUGACUUCAGGAGCCCUGGUGGGUGGACAGAAGCUCCCUGCUCCCCCAGCCUGUCUACCCAGCAGCGCUUUGGCCAGUCCCAUUCCUGUACUUCUGAGCCUGCCUGUCAGUCCCUCCUCACACGCACACCGUGGCUUUGUGCCUGGUACUGAGUGUCCCGGAGCCCCAAACCACAGGGUCAACCCCAUGAAAGAAACCGGGACUCUGCUCUCAUCCACUCGCCCCCACCCCCCGCGUAAUCCCCUGGUGCUCACACAGCCCCACCGUAAAGUUUUUGUAGCUCCCUGGCAGACUUGUGCUCCUGUUUGCCAGAUCAAAGCCCAGUGACCUGAGCGGCCUGUCCCCAGCAGAGGCCACUAGUCCCUGUGGACCCACCCCAUUGGGAAAGGCAUGGGUUGAACUUUAACCAUUAGGCUCAGGGAUUGGGAUGAGUUUCUACAAAAAGAGGUGGGUACACGCCAGUCCACAGUGGUCCUGAUCAAAGUGAGAACAGACAGCAGGGAACAUCACCCUCUUCAGAUUGGAGUCAGUGGGAACAGACCUAAGAUGUUGGGGAAGAACACUUGGAAGACCUCAGCUUUCUCCUGGGUUGAGCAGAUGUGGGCCCCUCUCUGGAGUCGUUCGAUGAGGCCAGGGUGAUGGUGUUCUCAGCGUUCCUGUGCGCGGCGAACCAGCAGUAACACUUUGCACCCACUCUGGACGGGCCCGGUCUCCGUGCCAGGGGGCACCCGGCAGUCUCCUAUCAACAUCCAGUGGAGGGACAGCGUCUAUGACCCCUGGCUGAAGCCACUCAGGGUCUCCUAUGACGUGGCAUCCUGCCUGUACAUCUGGAACACUGGCUACCUCUUCCAGGUGGAAUUUGACGAUGCCACCAAGGCAUCAGGCCUUGUCUCUCACAGGGCCACAGCAGCUGCCCAGGACAGAGUCUGACGCCCCAGGCCUCUGUCAGGAGUGCCGAGACUUCCUUCCCCAACUCCUGCUACUUCUCUGAAGAAUAACCUGGCCAAGGCAAGAGGCUGCAUUCAGGCCUGGGUGCCAUGGCUCACGCCUGUAAUCCCAGCACUUUAGGAGGCUGAGGUGGGCGGAUCACCUGAGGUCAGGAGUUCGAGACCAGCCUGAGCAACAUGGUAAAACCCCGUCUCUACAAAAAAAAAUUGCAAAAAUUUAGCCAGGAAUGGCGCCAUGCAUCUCUUGCUCCAGCUACUAGGGAGGCCGAGGCAGGAUUACUUGAACCCAGAAGCCUGAGGCCGCACUGAGCCAUGAUUGCACCAUUGCACUCUACCCGGCUUGACAGAGCAAGACCCGGUCUCAAAAAAAAAAGUUUUAAGUGAAAAGCAAAGAACUUCACCUCUGUGGUCUUCCUCCCUAAACUCCAUAAACCAAACCUAUUCAUGAGAAAAAGGAUCAGACAAACCCAAAUUUUAGGAAUAUUCAACUGGGUGUGGAGGCUCACACCUGUAAUCUCAGCACUGUAAGAGGCUGAGGCGAGAGGAUCACUUGAGCCUGGGAGUUCAAGAACAGCCUGGGCAACAUAGUGAGACCUCAUCUCUAGAAAAAAAAAAAAAAACAUAUAUAUAUAUAAUGCGUAUAUAUAAUGCGUAUAUAUAUAUGCGUGUAUAUGUGUAUAUAUAUAUGCAUGUAUAUAUAUAUAAUGUGUGUGUAUAUAUAUAUAUAUAUAUAUACAUUUUAAAUUUAUAAAGUUGUUUUUAAAAAGAAUAUUCUGAGGCCAGGUGCGGUGGCACACACCUGUAAUCCCAGCACUUUGGGAGGCCGAGGCAGGUAGAUCACCUGAGGUCAGGAGUUUGAGACCAGCCUGACCAACGUGGUGAAACCCCAUCUCUACUAAAAAUACAAAAAUUAGCUGGGCAUGGUGGCACACGCCUAUAAUCCCAGUAACUCGGGAGGCUGAGGCAGGAGAAUCACUUGAACCGGGGAGGUGGAGGUUGCAGUGAGCAGAGAUCACACCAUUGCACUCCAGCCUGGGUGACAGAGAGAGACUCCGUCCCCCGCCCCCCGUCCGCCAAAAAAAAAAAGAAUAUUCUACAAAAUACAAACCAGCACUCCUUGAAACUGUCAAGAUCAACAAAGGUGAAGCCUGAGAAGCUGUCAGGCUGAGGAAGCUAAGUAGAUGUGACAACUAAAUAUAAUGUGGUGUCACAAGGGAUCCUGAAGCAGAAAAGGACAUUAGGGGAAAACUAGAAAAAUAAAAAAAAAGUGUGAAGUUGAAUUAGUAAGAAAAAUUUUAAAAAAGGGUGAAGUUGAAUUAGUAUUAAUGUACCGUACAUCCACACAAUACACUGUUAUUCAACAAUAAACAAAAGGACUGGGCACGGUGGUUCACGCCUGUAAUCACAGCACUUUGGGAAGCCAAGGGGAGCGGAUCACCUGAGGUCAGGGGUUUGAGACCAGCCUGGCCAACAUGGUGAGACCUAGUCUCUACUAAAAAUACAAAAACUAGCUAGGUGUGGUAGCACAGGCCUGUAAUCCCAGCUACUUGGGAGGCUGAAGCAGAAUCGCUUGAACCCAGCAAGCAGAGGUUGCAGUGAGCCAAGAUCGUGCCACUGCACUCCAGCCUGGGUGACAGAGCAAGACUCCGUCUCAAAAAAAAAAAAACAAUAAACAUAGAUGAAGAUAUCCACAUGGCUGAACUUGAAAGCAUAGGGCCAAGUAGAAGCCAGACCCAGAAGACCACAUAUAUGAUUCCAUUUAUCUUCAAUGCCCAGAAGAAGCAAAUCUAGAGGCAGGAAGUAGAUGGGUGGUUGCCAGGGCUGGGGGGUGAGGAAAGGUGGGGAGUAGUGAGAAGGGGCUACUCAUGGGUCAGGUUUCUUUCAUGGUAGGAAAAAAAGGUUUUAAAAUUAGACUGUGGUGAUGGUUGCACAACCCUGUGAAUAUACAAAAAACCACUGAAGGGUACUGAAGCGUGGUGGCAGGUGCCUGUAGCCCCAGCUACUCGGGAGACUGAGGCAGGACAAUCCCUUGAACCCAGGAGGCAGAGGUUGCAGUGAGCUGAGAUCGUGCCAUUUGCACUCCAGCCCGGCAACAAGAGCGAAACUCCAUCUCAAAAAAAAAAAAAAAAAAACUUACUCAAACAAAAAGUUUAUAUCUAUCUAUCUAUCUAUAUGUAUCUCUUACAAACUGUAUACAUAUAAACUGCAUAUAUACACACACAACUAAAAAAGAAAAGCACACUGGGCACAGUAGCCCACACCUGUAACCCCAGCACUUUGGGAGGCUGAUCUGGGAGGAUCGGUUGAGUGCAGGAGUUUGAGACUAGCCUGGGCAACAUAGCAAGACCCUGCCACUACAAAAAAAAGUUUCUUAAUUAGCCAGGUGAAGUGGUGCACUCCUGUAGACCCAGCUACUUAGGAGGCUGAGGUGGGAGGAUCACUUGAACCCAGGAGUUCAAGGCUGCAUUGAGCUAUGAUCACACCACUGUACUCCAGUGUAGAGAGAUGUUGUCACCCCUACUGGGUGACAGUAACACCCUGUCUCUAAAAACAAAACAAACAAAAAGCCAAGGAGUGCUGUUUCAGAUGUGCUAUAAAGGCCACCCUAGCAAGAGGCAGCCACAUUUAUAAGUGCUGACAGGGACCUGAAAUAGCAAUGUGGUCACAGGAAGGGAGAACUUAGUGAGAUCGGGUGGUUCAUGAGGUGUCCCCUGGAUGCAUGAGUAGUUGUUUCCUAUUGGGGCUGUUAACAAAUUACCACAAACUGAGAGGUUGAAAACCACACCAAUUUAUUAUCUUACAGUUCU
This 4079-nucleotide long non-coding RNA is filed under the name Homo sapiens (human). Its description in RNAcentral is "non-protein coding lnc-MYLPF-3:6". The record is from RNAcentral. Lineage: Eukaryota; Metazoa; Chordata; Mammalia; Primates; Hominidae.